GAUGAACGCUGGCGGCGUGCCUAAUACAUGCGAGUCGAGCGAACAGACGAUGAUCUUGCUCCUCUGACGUUAUCGGCUGAUGGGUGAGUAACACGUGGUUAACCUACCUAUAAGACUUUGAUAACUUCGGGAAACCGCAGCUAAUACCGGAUAACAUCUUGAACCUCAUGGUUCAACAGUUAAAUACGGUUUUACUGUCACUUAGAGAUAGAUCCUCGUCGCAUUAGCUAGUUGGUAAUGUAACGGCUUACCAAGGCAACGAUGCGUAGCCGAGCUGAGAGGGUGAUCGGCCACACUGGAACUGCGACACGGUCCAGACGCCUACGGGAGGCAGCAGUAGGGAAUCUUCCGUAAUGGGCGAAAGCCUGACGGAGAAACGCCGCGUGAGUGAAGAAGGUCUUCGGAUCGUAAAACUCUGUUAUUAGGGAAGAACAAAUGUGUAAGUAACUAUGCACGUCUUGACGGUACCUAAUCAGAAAGCCACGGCUAACUACGUG
RNAcentral lists this ribosomal RNA (497 nucleotides) under uncultured bacterium. Its description in RNAcentral is "partial 16S ribosomal RNA". It matches the Rfam family "Bacterial small subunit ribosomal RNA", at positions 28 to 507 of the family's 1533-position model. The record is from RNAcentral.